CCUAUAUUUAAACCAGAUCUCAAUGAUUAUUUUUUACUUGAAAUAUUAUCUUAUUUUAUUAUUAUUUGAAACAUUUUCUUACAAUAGUUUAUUUAUAAAACAUGUAAAUGGCAUGCACGAAAAUAUAUUAUAUGAAUGACAAUAAAAACAUAAAUGACAAAUGUAGAUGAUAAUUCAAGGAUGCAUAUGAUCAUAUUUAAAAUGAAAUGCAAAUGCAAGAAGAUGGAUCAAGGGUUAGCUUUUAGGGUUUAUGGUUGAUUUAGGAUUUAGAGUAUAAAGUAAGGUUUAAGGCUUGGUUGAGGUCUAGGGGUUAGAUAUGGUUUAACUGUUAGUUUAGGAUUGGUUUUGGUUUGAUUUGGGUUUGUUUUGGUUUGGCUUGGUUUGGUUUGGUUUGGCUUGGUUUGAUUUGGUUUAGCUUGGGUUUGGUUUGGUUAGGAUCUUUAGAGUUUAAAAGAGUUGGUUUAGGUAUAAGGGUUUAGGUUUAGGUUUAGGUUUAGGUUUAGGAUUUUGGUUUAGGGUUUGGGCUUUAGGUUCAGUUUAGGGUCUAGGUAAGGGUUUAGGUUCAAGUUUAAAGGUUUGGAAUUUCGAUUUGGGAUUUGGUUAGGAUUGAGGUUUGAGUUAAGGUCUAACUUAGGGUUUUAGUUGAGGGUUUUGGAUUUCGAUUUGGGGUUUGGGAUAAGUUUAAAGGUUUUGGGCUUUGGUUUGGCUAAAGUUUGAGGGUUUAAGGUUUUAGUUUAUGGUUUCAUUAGGGUUUAGGGGUUUAGUUAAGGUUUAAAGGUAUGGGAUAGGUUUAGGGUUUGCAUGAGGGUUUAGGGUUUGUGUGAGGGUUUAGAGUUUGCAUGAGGGUUUAGGGGUUUAUAUAAGGGUUUAGGGUUUGCCUGAGGAUUUAGGCUUUGCAUGAAGGUUUAAAGGCUUGCAUGAUGAUUUAGGGUUUGCAUGAGGGUUUAGGGUUUGCAUGAAUGGUGCACGUGACAAUAUAAAUAUGGAAUAAAUGCAUAAUGUAACAUUUAAUGCAUGAAAUGGGAUUGAAUAUGAAAGCCAUAACUUAAGCAAAUUCACAAACACAUUACAACCUAAACAUGUAUGCAAAUACCUAACUUAAAAUAAAUCAAAUACGAAGUGCCAAGGCAAGGAGCAAUGUUUGGCCACACUAUGAAAGGAGCUUGAACCAAAACUAGCAUGGUCAUUUGUUCAUCCCUUAUAUUGGCCAAACCUUGGUGAUCAUGUAUCCACUAUUUCAUUUCCACAUACACACAUGAAAACAUUGUUAAACAUACUAAGAAAAAUUACUCAUUCAACAUUAUUAUCCUUUAAAAAAAAUUUAUCAAACACAUAGAAAACAUAAAGCUCUAACCAAGAACACAAGCAAGCAAGCAUGAAACACAAACUUUUGGCCAUGAAAAACAAGAUUAGAGGUCUCAGCCAUGUAAUAAGGGGUGCUAGGCUGAAACUUCCCAUGAUCUUUUCACAAACAAUCCAUCAUUUAUUUAGCUAAAGCAUAUAUCAAACACAUAGAAAACUAAAUUAUGAAGGCAUUUUAUUAUUAAAGGAUUUUUGUCACACAUGUGAUAAACUACUAAAAAGAAAAGCAUUAAAAACAUGCAUACUUACCAAACAAACAAAAUCGUCCAUAGAAGUAGUAAACUAUCAUGCAAAUAA
This 1659-nucleotide long non-coding RNA is filed under the name Durio zibethinus. RNAcentral's name for it is "long non-coding RNA (DZIB_LNC000889)". The record is from RNAcentral. Lineage: Eukaryota; Viridiplantae; Streptophyta; Magnoliopsida; Malvales; Malvaceae.